This 459-nucleotide ribosomal RNA is filed under the name uncultured bacterium. RNAcentral describes it as "partial 16S ribosomal RNA". It matches the Rfam family "Bacterial small subunit ribosomal RNA", at positions 338 to 795 of the family's 1533-position model. The record is from RNAcentral.
CCUACGGGUGGCUGCAGGGAGGAAUAUUGGUCAAUGGACGAGAGUCUGAACCAGCCAAGUAGCGUGAAGGAUGACUGCCCUAUGGGUUGUAAACUUCUUUUAUAUGGGAAUAAAAUGUUCCCCGGGUGGGAUUUUGUAUGUACCAUAUGAAUACGGAUCGGCUAACUCCGUGCAAGCAGACGCGGUAAUACGGAGGAUGCGAGCGUUAUCCGGAUUUAUUGGGUGUAAAGGGUUCGCAGGCGGAUUUUUAAGUCAGCGGUCAAAUCGUGGGGCUCAACCCCAUCCAGCCGUUGAAACGGGGGAUCUAGAGUGUGCGAGAGGUAUGCGGAAUGCGUGGGGUAGCGGUGAAAUGCAUAGAUAUCACGCAGAACCCCGAUUGCGAAGGCAGCAUACCGGUGCACAACUGACGCUCAGGCACGAAAGCGUGGGUAUCGAACAGGAUUAGAUACCCGGGUAGUC